RNAcentral lists this ribosomal RNA (196 nucleotides) under uncultured bacterium. RNAcentral describes it as "partial 16S ribosomal RNA". It matches the Rfam family "Bacterial small subunit ribosomal RNA", at positions 328 to 539 of the family's 1533-position model. The record is from RNAcentral.
ACGCUCGACACCUAGGAGGCAGCAGUGGGGAAUAUUGCACAAUGGGGGAAACCCUGAUGCAGCGACGCCGCGUGAGCGAAGAAGUAUUUCGGUAUGUAAAGCUCUAUCAGCAGGGAAGAAACUGACGGUACCUGACUAAGAAGCACCGGCUAAAUACGUGCCAGCAGCCGCGGUAAUCUGAGCGGGCUGGCAAGGC